Molecule: unclassified non-coding RNA, 177 nt
Filed under: Basidiomycota sp.
Lineage: Eukaryota; Fungi; Basidiomycota
Description: partial contains small subunit ribosomal RNA, internal transcribed spacer 1, and 5.8S ribosomal RNA
Rfam family: Eukaryotic small subunit ribosomal RNA (bases 1-47)
Source: RNAcentral
AAAGUCGUAACAAGGUUUCCGUAGGUGAACCUGCGGAAGGAUCAUCACUGCUUUUGAUGUGUCUACCCUUUGUGCACUGUCUCGCGCAUUAUGUGCGCGUUUUUAUUUACACGCUUUUGAAUGCAUCUGCGACUAUAAACACACACACAACUUUUAACAACGGAUCUCUUGGUUCUC